RNAcentral lists this ribosomal RNA (470 nucleotides) under uncultured bacterium. RNAcentral's name for it is "partial 16S ribosomal RNA". It matches the Rfam family "Bacterial small subunit ribosomal RNA", at positions 28 to 507 of the family's 1533-position model. The record is from RNAcentral.
GACGAACGCUGGCGGCGUGCUUAACACAUGCAAGUCGAACGAUGAAGCCUAGCUUGCUGGGUGGAUUAGUGGCGAACGGGUGAGUAAUACGUGAGUAACCUACUUUAACUCUGGGAUAAGCCUGGGAAACUGGGUCUAAUACCGGAUACGACCAAUCUCCGCAUGGGGUGUUGGUGGAAAGCGUUAUGUAGUGGUUAUAGAUGGGCUCACGGCCUAUCAGCUUGUUGGUGAGGUAACGGCUCACCAAGGCGACGACGGGUAGCCGGCCUGAGAGGGUGACCGGCCACACUGGGACUGAGACACGGCCCAGACUCCUACGGGAGGCAGCAGUGGGGAAUAUUGCACAAUGGGCGCAAGCCUGAUGCAGCGACGCCGCGUGAGGGAUGACGGCCUUCGGGUUGUAAACCUCUGUUAGCAGGGAAGAAGAGAGAUUGACGGUACCUGCAGAGAAAGCGCCGGCUAACUACGUG